AUUUGUAUAAUAUAAUAAUAAUAUUUUUGACUUCCAAUCAAAUAAUCUAGAAAUAGUACAAAUA
Molecule: transfer RNA, 64 nt
Filed under: Hemisodorcus rubrofemoratus
Lineage: Eukaryota; Metazoa; Arthropoda; Insecta; Coleoptera; Lucanidae
Description: tRNA-Gly
Source: RNAcentral